UCCGUUUGAUCCCGGCAGAGGUUACUGCUAUCGGUGUUCGACUAAGCCAUGCGAGUCAAAUGUUCUUCGUGAACAUGGCGUAAUGCUCAGUAACACGUGGAUAACCUGCCCUCAGGUCCGGCAUAACCUCGGGAAACUGAGGAUAAUUCCGGAUAUCCCUUUUCUGCUGGAAUCGCUUAAAGGGACAAAGAAUUUCGCCUGAGGAUGGGUCUGCGGCCUAUCAGGUUGUAGGGGGUGUAACGUACCCUCUAGCCGACAACGGGUACGGGUUGUGAGAGCAAGAGCCCGGAGAUGGAUUCUGAGACAUGAAUCCAGGCCCUACGGGGCGCAGCAGGCGCGAAAAACUUUACAAUGCAGGAAAACUGUGAUAAGGGAACACCGAGUGCCCGCAUCAAAUGCGGGCUGUCCACAUACCUAAAUCGUAUGUGUUAGCAAGGGCCGGGCAAGACCGGUGCCAGCCGCCGCGGUAAUACCGGUGGCCCGAGUGGUAGCCGCUUUUAUUGGGUCUAAAGGGUCCGUAGCCUGUCUGAUCAGUCCAUUGGGAAAUCCGGAUGCUCAACAUCCGGGCUUCCAGUGGAUACUGUCAGACUUGGGAUCGGGGGAGGUAAGAGGUACUACAGGGGUAGGAGUGAAAUCUUGUAAUCCUUGUGGGACCACCUGUGGCGAAGGCGUCUUACCAAAACGAGUCCGACGGUGAGGGACGAAAGCUGGGGGCACGAACCGGAUUAGAUACCCGGGUAGUCCCAGCCGUAAACGAUGCUCGCUAGGUGUCAGGCAUGGCGUGACUGUGUCUGGUGCCGAAGGGAAGCCGUGAAGCGAGCCACCUGGGAAGUACGGCCGCAAGGCUGAAACUUAAAGGAAUUGGCGGGGGAGCACAACAACGGGUGGAGCCUGCGGUUUAAUUGGACUCAACGCCGGAAAACUCACCAGGAGAGACAGCAAUAUGUAGGUCAAGCUGAAGACUUUACCUGAAUCGCUGAGAGGAGGUGCAUGGUCGUCGCCAGUUCGUACUGUGAAGCAUCCUGUUAAGUCAGGCAACGAGCGAGACCCA
RNAcentral lists this ribosomal RNA (1051 nucleotides) under uncultured Methanimicrococcus sp. RNAcentral describes it as "bacterial SSU rRNA". It matches the Rfam family "Archaeal small subunit ribosomal RNA", at positions 1 to 1054 of the family's 1478-position model. Lineage: Archaea; Methanobacteriati; Methanobacteriota; Methanomicrobia; Methanosarcinales; Methanosarcinaceae. The record is from RNAcentral.